AUGAAAGUACUACUAGUAGUAAAAAAAUAUUGUUAUUUGAAGGGUAGGCUUAAGCCUGUUAAAGCCCUCCUAGUAGACUCGCCGCUGGGUGGGUUCCUUGAUGGGCUGAGGCCGUCCAGGACGAUGGACGAUGUGAAGGACCUCAUCGGCAGGUCCAUGGAGCUCGAGCUCGUCAGCGCCGAUCUUGACGCGGAAACGGGGAAGGAGAAACAGACGAUCAAGAGCUAUGCCCGCAAGGUGGCCGACAAGGACCGCCACAUCGUCACCUAUGAAGCCGGCUUCAACGUGCCGGCGGGCUUCGGCUCCGUCGGCGCCGUGCUGGUCACCAACGAGCACGACACGGAGAUGUUCCUCAAGGACGUGAAGCUCAUCGGCGGUGGCAACUCGGACUCGGAGCCCCACGUCAUCCUCUGCGACUCGUGGCUGCCGCCCAAGUCCGGCGACGGCAAGCGCAUCUUCUUCGCCAACAAGGUGAUUCGAUCAGGACCCCGUCAAGCCAUUUUGCAAUUGAAAUUUGUCAAUGCUGAACUGUUGAUCAAUGUACCAACGACCGUGCAGCCUUACCUGCCGAGCCAAACUCCUCCCGGCCUCCAGAGCUACCGGAAGAAGGACCUGGUGAAGAAGCGCGGUGACGGCACGGGGCAGAGGAAGGCCACCGACCGGGUGUACGACUACGACGUGUACAACGAUCUCGGCUCCGGCGAGGAACCCGGUGCCGGCGGCGCCCGCUCCGUCCUCGGUGGCAACGAGCAGUUCCCCUACCCGCGGCGCUGCCGCACCGGCCGCCCCCGAUCCAUCAAAGAUCCGCAGUCGGAGAUGAGGAGCGGCGACGUGUACGUGCCGAGGGACGAGGCGUUCUCGGAGGAGAAGAACGUGCAGUUCUCGGUGAAGACGCUGCAGUCGGUGCUCCACGCCGUGGUGCCGGCCGUGCAGUCCACGCUCAUCGACGCCAACCAGGGCUUUCCCUCCUUCUUCGUCAUCGACAAGCUGUUCGAGGACGGCGUCGUGCUGCCGCGCGCUCGAGAGGUCGGCUUCCUCCGCAGCGCCGUGCCGCGCCUCCUUCAGUUCCUCCGCGACGGCCUCGGCGACAAGCUCCUCCUCUUCGACCGCCCCGCAAAUGUCAAAAAGGACAAGUUUGCGUGGUUACGUGACGAGGAGUUCGCCAGGGAGACGCUCGCCGGCAUGAACCCAUACGCCAUCGAGCUUGUCAGGGAAUUUCCCCUCAAGAGCAAUCUGGACCCGGCAGAGUACGGGCCGGCGGAGUCGGCUAUCACCGCCGAGCUGCUGGAGGCGCAGAUGGGGCACACCAUGACGGUGGCGGAGGCGGUGGAGAAGAAGAGGCUGUUCAUGCUCGACUUCCACGACCUGUUCCUGCCCUACGUGCACAAGAUCCGCGCCCUGGAGCACACCACCAUGUACGGCUCCCGCACCAUCUUGUUCCUUACCGACGAGGGCACGCUGCGCCUCCUCGCCAUCGAGCUCACCCGGCCGGCCUCGCCGACCAUGCCGCAGUGGAGGCAGGUGUUCACAUCGUCCACGGACACCACCAAGUCCUGGCUGUGGCGGAUGGCCAAGUCCCACGUCCGCGCCCGCGACGCCGGCCACCACGAGCUCGUCACCCACUGGCUGCGCACGCACUGCGCCGUCGAGCCCUACAUCCUCGCGGCCAACAGGCAGCUCAGCGAGAUGCACCCCGUCUACCAGCUGCUGCGCCCGCACUUCCGCUACACCAUGCGGAUCAACGCGCUCGCACGCUCCGCCCUGGUCAACGGCGGCGGCAUCAUCGAGAGCACCUUCUCCCCGCAGAGGUACGGCAUGGAGCUCAGCUCCGUGGCCUACGACAAGCUCUGGCGCUUCGACAUGGAGGCCCUCCCCGCGGACCUCGUCCGGAGGGGCAUGGCGGAGGAGGACCCCACGGCGGAGCACGGCCUCAGGUUCGCAAUCAAAGACUACCCGUUCGCCAACGACGGGCUCCUGAUCUGGGACGCCAUCAAGGGGUGGGUUCAGGCGUACGUUUCCCGGUACUACCGGGGGGACGCCGCCAGCGUCACCGGCGACACGGAGCUACAGGCGUUCUGGACGGAGGUACGCACCGAGGGACACGCUGACAAGAAGGGCGCGCCGUGGUGGCCUAAGCUGGACACGCCGGAGACCCUCGCGCACACGCUCACCACAAUAAUCUGGGUCGCGGCGGCGCACCACGCGGCGGUCAACUUCGGGCAGUAUGACUUUGGGGGGUACUUCCCGAACCGCCCCUCGAUCGCGCGUACCAAGAUGCCGGUGGAGGAGCCCGUGGACGCCGCCGCCUUGGAGAAAUUCCUCGACAACCCGGACGAGGCGCUCCGGGAGUGCUUCCCGUCGCAGCUGCAGGCAACGCUGGUGAUGGCGGUGCUGGACGUGCUGUCCAGCCACUCCCCCGACGAGGAGUACCUCGGAGGGAUGGAGACUGCGCCGUGGGGCGACGACACCGAGGUGCGGGCGGCGUACACGAGGUUCAACGACCAGCUGAAGGCGGUGGAGGGGAUCAUCGACGAAAGGAACAAGAACAGAAUGCUCAAGAAUCGGUGCGGCGCCGGCAUCUUGCCGUACCAGCUCAUGAAACCAUUCUCGGAGCCCGGCGUCACGGGCAAGGGCAUCCCCAACAGCACCUCCAUCUGA
Molecule: ribosomal RNA, 2658 nt
Filed under: Triticum aestivum (bread wheat)
Lineage: Eukaryota; Viridiplantae; Streptophyta; Magnoliopsida; Poales; Poaceae
Description: partial small subunit ribosomal RNA
Source: RNAcentral